UGCAUCGGCCGGGAAACGAGCUCGCGUGGCAGGCGAGCAUUCUACCACUGAACCACCGAUAC
Molecule: transfer RNA, 62 nt
Filed under: Cordylochernes scorpioides
Lineage: Eukaryota; Metazoa; Arthropoda; Arachnida; Pseudoscorpiones; Chernetidae
Description: tRNA-Gly
Source: RNAcentral